UAUAAUUGAAGUCUGGAAUGAAGGAAAAGACGGGUGAUUGCUGUCCCUAAAAAGUGUAAGAAGUUAUUUAAUAAGUGCAAAUACUUAUAGAUAAAUAAUAGACGAGAAGACCCUAGAAAUUUUUUAAAAAGUGAGUUAACCUAACUAAUAUUUUGUUGGGGCGACAGAAUAACAAUUAACUUAUUUUAAUAAUAUGGACUACGUAAAGAGAAAAAUUAAAUUACUCUAGGGAUAACAGCAUAAUUUAUAUAAGUUUGUGACCUCGAUGUUGGACUAGGGAUCUUAAUAUUUAGAAGACGUUAAGGAAGGCUCUGUUCGAGCAAUAUCUCACCCUACAUGAUCUGAGUUCAAACCGGA
Molecule: ribosomal RNA, 357 nt
Filed under: Xerocrassa geyeri
Lineage: Eukaryota; Metazoa; Mollusca; Gastropoda; Stylommatophora; Geomitridae
Description: partial 16S ribosomal RNA
Source: RNAcentral